Molecule: long non-coding RNA, 490 nt
Organism: Lycium barbarum (goji berry)
Lineage: Eukaryota; Viridiplantae; Streptophyta; Magnoliopsida; Solanales; Solanaceae
Exons: 3
Source: RefSeq, a predicted model, not a curated record
ACUUUUCUAGAGACUAUCUCACCACGACAAAUACAUAUGACUUUUCUAGAAUCAGCGGUCCUAACAUAAAUAAAUUAUCCCUAUCCAUUGGUUUCCAUCGCUUUUAUCAGAACACUUCCAUACUCUGCAACAGAUCAAAAACCAUUCUCAUCGGGGUCUUCCACUUUAGUUUCUGCUCUUCGUUGUAACAUCUCUUUGUUCGUGGAUAUCUGUAAUAUUUCAUUGUGUGACAUGGAGAUAGAUGAAAUAAAAGAAUACCAAUCUGCCAAGUGGGUGUCACCACCUGAGGCUGCAUGGAGAAUAUUCACUUUUCCUAUCAGUGAAAUGACUCCCAAGUGUAUACCAUCUUCAACUACAUCUUGAAGGACAACAAUUUGUUUCCUUCAAAAGUAUAGACAAUAUUAGUAAAAUUGUAAAUAAUCCCAUGAUUGAAAAAAUAAUGUUAACUGAGUUUUUUUUUAAUGAAUAGAGUAAACAAAGAUGCUAUGGA